Molecule: transfer RNA, 75 nt
Filed under: Marmota monax (woodchuck)
Lineage: Eukaryota; Metazoa; Chordata; Mammalia; Rodentia; Sciuridae
Description: tRNA.Phe
Source: RNAcentral
GGUAGGAAUGUAGCUAAGUGGUAGAGUGCUUACCUAAAAUAUGUAAGACCUUGGGUUCAAUCCCCAGUACCACCA